This 89-nucleotide non-coding RNA is filed under the name Candidatus Neoanaerotignum galli. RNAcentral's name for it is "TPP riboswitch (THI element)". It matches the Rfam family "TPP riboswitch aptamer (THI element)", at positions 7 to 92 of the family's 105-position model. Rfam says of the family: Vitamin B(1) in its active form thiamin pyrophosphate (TPP) is an essential coenzyme that is synthesised by coupling of pyrimidine and thiazole moieties in bacteria. The previously detected thiamin-regulatory element, thi box was extended, resulting in a new, highly conserved RNA secondary structure, the THI element, which is widely distributed in eubacteria and also occurs in some archaea. Analysis of operon structures identified a large number of new candidate thiamin-regulated genes, mostly transporters, in various prokaryotic organisms. Lineage: Bacteria; Bacillati; Bacillota; Clostridia. The record is from RNAcentral.
CAGCUGGGGGUGCUCCUGCCUUAGAUGGGCGGGGCUGAGAAAAAGACCCUUUUGACCUGAUGCGGGUAAUGCCGCCGAAGGGAAGCUUC